This 497-nucleotide ribosomal RNA is filed under the name uncultured bacterium. RNAcentral's name for it is "partial 16S ribosomal RNA". It matches the Rfam family "Bacterial small subunit ribosomal RNA", at positions 28 to 507 of the family's 1533-position model. The record is from RNAcentral.
GAUGAACGCUGGCGGCGUGCCUAAUACAUGCAAGUCGAGCGAACAGACGCUGAUCUUGCUCCUCUGUCGUUUGCGGCGGACGGGUGUGUAACACGUGUAUACCCUCCUUAUCAUUCUGGUAUCACUUCGGGAAUCCGGCGCUAAUACCGUAUAAUAUAUUGAACCGUAUUGUUCAUUAGUGAAAUUCGGCUUUUCUGUCACUUCUCGAUGCAUCCGCGCCGUAUUAGCUAGUUGUUAAGGUAACGGCUUACCAAGGCGACGAUGCGUAGACGACCUGAGAGAGUGAUAGGCCACACGAGAGGGGAGACACGGACAAGAGUACUAAGGGAGGGAGCAGUAGGGAAUCUUACGCAAUGGGCGAAAGCAUGACGGAGCAAGGCCGCGUGAGUGAUGAAGGUCUUGGGAUCGUAAAGAUGGGUUAUGAGGGAAGAACAAAUGUGUAAGUAAAUAUGGACGUCUUGACGGUAACGAAUAAGAAAGCAACGGCUAACUACGUG